GUCGACGGUGGUCAGCGACACCAUGUCGCCCGCGGCCUGCAGCGCGGCGAACGGCAGGCGUCCGGCGCGGUUGACCGCCGCGCCGUCGACG
Molecule: transfer RNA, 91 nt
Filed under: Mycolicibacterium monacense
Lineage: Bacteria; Bacillati; Actinomycetota; Actinomycetes; Mycobacteriales; Mycobacteriaceae
Description: tRNA-Cys
Source: RNAcentral